CGCACCGAAGCGGGUGCAUAACGUGAACCCGAGAUGCACCCCAGCACGGGGUGUCCGUACGGGGCACGGCGCCCAGUGAGUCAGGCAGAGUGGGUGUCACCGCCGGAAUGUUCAGAGGCCGAGGCCCGGCUGGAUAGGGCUGGCAUCGUCAGUGGCCGCUUGAGCUCCUGGAACAGAAAGAGGCUGGCAGGUACCUUCCGGGCACCUCCUGUAGGCCACACACUUCGCCAUGUACCGAGCUGUGCUGGUGAACAGAACUGAAGAAGUGCCGGCCUUUGGGAGAUUCCUGUGUGAGAUGCAUGGCGUGCUGGCCCGUAACAUGUGCAGGGGAAGAGAGAGUUGGGGGCGGGGGGCUUUGAAGCAGGUGACCUAGGAAGGUCUUGUGAGCAGGUGAAGAAAAGAAAGUGUUAGUUGCUCAGUUGUGUCUGACUCUUUGUGACCUCAUGGAUUGUAGCCUGCCAGGCUCCAUGGGAUUCCCCAG
Long non-coding RNA from Bos taurus (domestic cattle), 481 nucleotides. Lineage: Eukaryota; Metazoa; Chordata; Mammalia; Artiodactyla; Bovidae. The record is from Ensembl.